GUUUUCUGAGACUGCAUCCACUUUGAUAGUUUCUACUGAGUCCAAAUUAGAACAUCCCAGCUGGUGGGCUGUCUCCCAGGAAGCCCUCGGAGAGGAGCGGUGCAUAGGGGGCACCUGGACACAGCCCACCUCCCCCGAGUAGCGUCAGGUAGGCUUGUCUAUCUACAUCCUUUCGCCCUUUCUCAGGAAACUAUCAGAUGAUGUGCUCCCCCAGAUGAAGAAGUAGUGCCAGGAAAAAGGAGACACGGGAUACAGGGAUCCUGAAGCCGGCGGAGGACAAGGGAGCUCCUGGGAGGACAGCUGUGCUCCGGCCUAGCAAUAGCGAGCAGCUGGUCCAGACUGCCGCCGUGACUCAGAAGAUAGACAUGCGGAGGGUUAUGAUCACAGAGCAACGAUGGUCCUUGUACAUGAAGAUAAAAAUGCUCAGGUGUGCCCAGGUUGAAGAAGAUGAAAGGCCCUGCCUCCCAGAGCGCCCGGGGACACUGGUGAUCUCUUCCAGGUCUGUUUCCACCCACUGCAGCUGUGAUGGAAUCUUGCUCUGUUGCCCAGGCUAGAAUGCAGUGGCGUGAUCUUGGCUCACCAAAAAUUCUGCCUCCUGGGUUCAAGUGCCUCCACACCCAGCUAAUUUUGUAUUUUUAGUAGAGACGAGAUUUCACCAUGUUGGCCAGGCUAGUCUUGAACUCCUGACAUUGUGAUCCACCCACCUCAGCCUCCCAAAGUGCUAAGAUUACAGGUGUGAGCCACCAUGCCCGGCCUACCUGGAGCAUUAUUAAAACCUUAAACCUUUAAAAAAAAAAAAAAAAAA
Molecule: long non-coding RNA, 805 nt
Filed under: Homo sapiens (human)
Lineage: Eukaryota; Metazoa; Chordata; Mammalia; Primates; Hominidae
Description: uncharacterized LOC101927143 (LOC101927143)
Source: RNAcentral